AGUGAACGCUGGCGGUAGGCCCAACACAUGCAAGUCGAACGGCAGCACAGUAAGAGCUUGCUCUUACGGGUGGCGAGUGGCGGACGGGUGAGGAAUACAUCGGAAUCUACUUUUUCGUGGGGGAUAACGUAGGGAAACUUACGCUAAUACCGCAUACGACCUACGGGUGAAAGCAGGGGAUCUUCGGACCUUGCGCGAUUGAAUGAGCCGAUGUCGGAUUAGCUAGUUGGCGGGGUAAAGGCCCACCAAGGCGACGAUCCGUAGCUGGUCUGAGAGGAUGAUCAGCCACACUGGAACUGAGACAAGGUCCAGACUCCUACGGGAGGCAGCAGUGGGGAAUAUUGGACAAUGGGCGCAAGCCUGAUCCAGCCAUACCGCGUGGGUGAAGAAGGCCUUCGGGUUGUAAAGCCCUUUUGUUGGGAAAGAAAAGCAGCAGGUUAAUACCCCGCUGUUCUGACGGUACCCAAAGAAUAAGCACCGGCUAACUUCGUG
This 492-nucleotide ribosomal RNA is filed under the name uncultured bacterium. RNAcentral describes it as "partial 16S ribosomal RNA". It matches the Rfam family "Bacterial small subunit ribosomal RNA", at positions 29 to 507 of the family's 1533-position model. The record is from RNAcentral.